AAGCCUUUAUCCAAAAAAUUUGGGAUCAGUUAUAUGGAUUCUCUUUCUCAACUCUAAACGAUUUUAACUUAAAUCCUCGAAAAUGUGUAAUGUUUCUAGGUCAUAUUGUAUUACUCUCCCCCAAGUCAGUUUAGGCUUAUCCCUUCUUUUCUUUCUAUUCUUUGCCCUAAUGCGCUCUACUUGUCUAAUUAGAGUCUCCGUAUGUCUACGCUU
This 213-nucleotide unclassified non-coding RNA is filed under the name Hevea brasiliensis (rubber tree). The record is from RNAcentral. Lineage: Eukaryota; Viridiplantae; Streptophyta; Magnoliopsida; Malpighiales; Euphorbiaceae.